Molecule: ribosomal RNA, 468 nt
Filed under: uncultured bacterium
Lineage: Bacteria
Description: partial 16S ribosomal RNA
Rfam family: Bacterial small subunit ribosomal RNA
Source: RNAcentral
GACGAACGCUGGCGGCGUGCUUAACACAUGCAAGUCGAACGGACAGGCCCUGCUUUUGUGGGGUGCUCGAGUGGCGAGCGGGUGAGUAACACGUGAGUAACCUGCCCUUGACUUUGGGAUAACUUCAGGAAAAUGGGGCUAAUACCGGAUAGGAGCUCCUGCUGCAUGGUGGGGGUUGGUAAGUUUCGGCGGUUGUGGAUGGACUCGCGGCUUAUCAGCUUGUUGGUGGGGUAGUGGCUUACCAAGGCUUUGACGGGUAGCCGGCCUGAGAGGGUGGCCGGGCACAUUGGGCCUGAGAUACGGCCCAGACUCCUACGGGAGGCAGCAGUGGGGAAUAUGGCACAAUGGGCGGAAGCCUGAUGCAGCAACGCCGCGUGCGGGAUGACGGCCUUCGGGUUGUAAACCGCUUUCGCCUGAGACGAAGCGGGAGUGACGGUAAUGGGUAAAGAAGCACCGGCUAACUACGUG